CAGUGGUCGAAUGGUAAGGACACUUGCCACUCACAAUGGAGUCCCGGGUUCGAUCCCCGGUCGAGGAAGU
RNAcentral lists this transfer RNA (70 nucleotides) under Rhamnusium bicolor. Its description in RNAcentral is "tRNA-OTHER". The record is from RNAcentral. Lineage: Eukaryota; Metazoa; Arthropoda; Insecta; Coleoptera; Cerambycidae.